AUACGUAGGGAGCGAGCGUUGUCCGGAAUUACUGGGCGUAAAGGGCGCGUAGGCGGCGCUUCAAGUCGUCUGUCAAAUGGGAGGGCUUAACCCUUUUUCGCAGACGAAACUGGAGAGCUUGAGAAGCAGAGAGGCAAACAGAAUUCCUGGUGUAGCGGUGAAAUGCGUAGAUAUCAGGAAGAAUACCAGUGGCGAAGGCGGUUUGCUGGCUGCAUACUGACGCUGAAGCGCGAAAGCCAGGGGAGCAAACGGGAUUAGAUACCCCGGUAGUCCUGGCAGUAAACGAUGCAUGCUGUGUGUGAGACUAGCGAUAGUUUCGUGCCGAAGUUAACGCGAUAAGCAUACCGCCUGGGGAGUACGGUCGCAAGAUUGAAACUUAAAGGAAUUGACGGGG
Molecule: ribosomal RNA, 394 nt
Filed under: uncultured bacterium
Lineage: Bacteria
Description: partial 16S ribosomal RNA
Rfam family: Bacterial small subunit ribosomal RNA
Source: RNAcentral